GACGAACGCUGGCGGCGUGCUUAACACAUGCAAGUCGAACGGAAAGGCCCUGCUUUUGUGGGGUGCUCGAGUGGCGAACGGGUGCGUAACACGUGAGUAACCUGCCCUUGACUUUGGGAUAACUUCAGGAAACUGGGGCUAAUACCGGAUAGGAGCUCCUGCUGCAUGGUGGGGGUUGGAAAGUUUCGGCGGUUGGGGAUGGACUCGCGGCUUAUCAGCUUGUUGGUGGGGUAGUGGCUUACCAAGGCUUUGACGGGUAGCCGGCCUGAGAGGGUGACCGGCCACUUUGGAAUUAUGAUACGACCCAGACUCCUACGGGAGGCAUCAGUGGGGAAUAUUGCACAAAGGGCGGAAGCCUGAUGCAGCAACGCCGCGUGCGGGAUGACGGCCUUCGGGUUGUAAACCGCUUUCGCCUGUGACGAAGCGUGAGUGACGGUAAUGGGUAAAGAAGCACCGGCUAACUACGUG
This 468-nucleotide ribosomal RNA is filed under the name uncultured bacterium. RNAcentral's name for it is "partial 16S ribosomal RNA". It matches the Rfam family "Bacterial small subunit ribosomal RNA", at positions 28 to 507 of the family's 1533-position model. The record is from RNAcentral.